AAGAUUCAAGUAUAGUAUAACCCUCCCUUGGAUGAAUUUCCACAAUCUUAUCAUUAUCUCCUAAUUCAAUAGAUGUAAUUAAUUCCAAAGAAUCCUCCAAUCCAUUUUCUUCAUAAACACCUAAAAUCUUCUCAUAAUCUUCUAAUGUUCAUAACUUGUGUAAUUCCCUUUCAAUAGUAUAUAAUAUUUUUCUUUCUUUUCUUUUAAAAUCAUCAACUUUCUUAUACAUAAUAUUUCCAUUCUCAAAAAUAUCAAUAAAACUCGCAUCAAAGGCACCUACAUCUCGCAAAAGUAC
RNAcentral lists this long non-coding RNA (295 nucleotides) under Physcomitrium patens. RNAcentral's name for it is "long non-coding RNA (PPAT_LNC006275)". Lineage: Eukaryota; Viridiplantae; Streptophyta; Bryopsida; Funariales; Funariaceae. The record is from RNAcentral.